This 1110-nucleotide long non-coding RNA is filed under the name Homo sapiens (human). RNAcentral's name for it is "HSALNT0003735". The record is from RNAcentral. Lineage: Eukaryota; Metazoa; Chordata; Mammalia; Primates; Hominidae.
CUUAAAUCUGCACACAGUGGCCAGGCGCGGUGGGCCGAUCACCUGAGGUCAGGAGUUCAAGACCAGCCUGGCCAACAUGGUGAAACCCCCUUCUCUACUAAAAAUACAAAAAUUAUGGCCAGAUACAGUGGCUCACCCCUGUAAUCCCAGCACUUUGGGAUGCCAAGGCGGGCAGAUCACCUGAGGUCAGGAGUUUGAGACCAGCCUGACCAACACGGAGAAACCCCGUCUCUACUAAAAAUACAAAAUUAGCCGGGCAUGGUGGUGCAUGCCUUUAAUCCCAGCUACUCGGGAGGCUGAGGUGGGAGAAUUGCUUGAAACUGGGAGGCAGAGGUUAUGGUAAACCGAGAUCACACCAUUGCACUCCAGCCUGGGCAAAAAGAGUGAAACUCCUCCAAAAAAAAUGAAAAGAACAGAACAAUUAGCUGGGCAUGGUGGUACAUGCCUGUAAUUCCAGCUACUUGGGAAGCGAGGCAGGAGAAUCACUUGAACCCAAGAGAAGGAGGUUGCAGUGAGCUGAGAUGGCGCCACUGCACUCCAGCCUGGGCAAGAGUGAGACUCCGUCUCAAAACAAAAACUAACAAAAAAACCUGCACACAGCAUAUGCACACCAAUGGGGAUAGGCCCACCCGGAUGGGUUCACCUAGACAAGAACAAGUCUGGGGACAAAUAUGUCCCUCGAUAAAGAUGUACAUAAAAAUCAUACAGACUUUGGCACACAUACAUUGCCCGGCUAACUGGGUUGUGAGCUCCUUGGAGGCAGGGAGAGGGAGUCACCCUCAAAGCCAUUACUUUGCACACAACAGAUGGUUGGUAAAAGUUUGAUUAAUUAAAUGCAGAAAUAUGCCUGCACACACAUGGGAAUGCACACAUACAACCACCCACCUAGACAGACAGAUACACACACACACACACGUACACACACACACAUCUGCUCACUCCCCCGCACCAGGAACCUCACAGCCUGGGUCCCCUCCUGCCACCACCUCCACCCUGCCCUGGCCCACUUGGCCUUCCUGUCUGAGGCAACCUCCUCCUCAGCCCACACCCCCAACUUCCUCUCCUGAGGUAACUGCCGCACCCACUCCCACGGAGGCCUCCAACCCAGGG